UCGUCCACCCAAUAGCGCCACUAUAAAAUUACAACGCACACAGAUUCGAACUCAUAACUGUACAGGCAGGGAAUUCAUCCAGUAACUCUACUCAUUCCAAGCCACGCAGGAUACGGUUCUAGCGUUAACCAGGAUAAUGCACGACACCGAAGACCUGUCUAUAAAACGGUUCAGUCUACUGGUUGUGUUACUCUACGUGGUCUUUCUAGAGUUCUCAUCAGGAAAAUCUUUGAAUUGUUUUGCUCAAUGCCAAACACAGAAGGAUUGCAAGCAGUGCCACCUCAGACUUCCUCUACGAUUUGGAAAAAGGAACGACGACAAAAUUAGAGUUCCAAUGCGUUUCGGUAAACGUGAAAACUUGGCCAUAGAGGAGUACCCUGAUGAUGUAAAUCGACUAUACUUAAUCCAAGAUAAAGCUUCGGACGAGACCUUUGCUGUUGACAAUACUUAUGGCCCUGGAAUCAAAAGAAAAUUAGAGCUACUUCGUGAGGAAGCACAACUGAUUUCCAAGCUACUUGGAAGUUUCACGGAGAAUCUCUUAGACGUUGAACGGGAAUGGGAAAAUAAAUAAAGUUUCAAAUGGAUUUUCUCAACUGUUUUGUUAGUCUUGUUGUAAUUGAUAAUCAGAGCUUUUCUUGCUCAAUAUUUAGCUUAAGAUGUGAUCACAGUCUUUGAAUGCUAACAUAACUCAACACCUAAGAUCUGAUGUAAGAAUAAAACCAAAAGAUGAAAGAAAGUGUGAUUUACAUUAUUUCUUGCUUCUUUACCGUCAGAUUUUGUUGCCAUUUCUUUGCAUCACCGCUGUCUGAAUAAAAGUAUUACGUUAUCUG
Molecule: long non-coding RNA, 830 nt
Organism: Limulus polyphemus (Atlantic horseshoe crab)
Lineage: Eukaryota; Metazoa; Arthropoda; Merostomata; Xiphosura; Limulidae
Exons: 2
Source: RefSeq, a predicted model, not a curated record